AGGGAUGUAGCGCAGUCUGGUAGCGCAUUUGUUUUGGGUACAAAAAGUCGCGGGUUCGAAUCCUGUCAUCCCUA
RNAcentral lists this transfer RNA (74 nucleotides) under Annona muricata (soursop). RNAcentral describes it as "tRNA-Pro". It matches the Rfam family "tRNA". From Rfam's summary of the family: Transfer RNA (tRNA) molecules are approximately 80 nucleotides in length. Their secondary structure includes four short double-helical elements and three loops (D, anti-codon, and T loops). RNAcentral also lists the same sequence under 1 other name. The record is from RNAcentral. Lineage: Eukaryota; Viridiplantae; Streptophyta; Magnoliopsida; Magnoliales; Annonaceae.